CUUUGUAAUUAUUUAAUAUAUUUAACUUAUUUUAAUAUUUGUUUUUGUAGGUCAUACUCAAAGGGAAUCUUUUGCCACUCUUCCAGUAUGAAUUCUUUUAGCUGAUUGCGGUUUUUGGGCUGUCUUUUCCCACUUUCUUCUUGAAGUAGGCCCACAAAUUUUCAAUGGGGCUAAGAUCGGGGCUCUGGGGUGGUGUAUCAAUAACUUUUCCACAGUUGUAAAGCACCCAAGCUCUCACAUUGGACUCUAUGUUUGGGAUCAUUGUCUUGAUAAAACUUGAAUUUGGCCAUAUUGUCCGUAAUGAGCCCAAAUUUCUCCGCACUGCUUUUUAAAUUUGUUUUUAAAAUUUGGAGGUACUGUUUGACAUCCAUUGUGUUCUCAAUAAAUGCAAUAUUUCCCACUCCUCGGAUAGAGAUGCACCCCCAAAUCAUAACCGCAAAUUUUCCAAACUUUACAGUCGGAAAGAUGUUUCGGUUAUCUAAAGCUAUUAACGGCUUGCGCCAUACUCUGGGUGUACCAUCAUUGUAAUAAAGCAUCAUUUCUGUUUCGUCGCACUAUAUAUGACGUCAUCCCAAUACUCUGCCGGCUUACUGAUCAUGUUAACAGCGAAAGUGAAGCGCUUUUCCACAUUGACCGACGAAAGCAGCGGUUUUUUUCGUGCCACUCUGGAAGAGUAUUCAUGGCGUAGAAUAACCUGGCGUACUGUUUCGUGUGAAACAACCAAGUCAAGUUCCUUGGCCAGAGUCCUGACCGAUAUUUGCGGAUUCGGAUUAUCUUUCCUCAUGAUUACGCGGUCUGCCCGUCUGUCUAUCUUCCUUUUACGGCCACCUCCAGAUUUUGUUUCCAGUCUCCCUUCGUUCUUCGCGCGACUUAGGACAUUGUAAAUUGUUUUCCUUGAUACUGAAAACAUUUCUACCAUGUCUGCAACAGAUUUGCCCAACUGGUGAUUAUAGUAAAUCAACUGGACAACGUCAAAACUAAGUCUUUUGCCAGGCAUUUUAAAAAUUUCAGAAUGUUACUCUGUACAUGUGCACCGGUCAAAAUUUCGCAACCAAA
Molecule: long non-coding RNA, 1056 nt
Organism: Drosophila pseudoobscura
Lineage: Eukaryota; Metazoa; Arthropoda; Insecta; Diptera; Drosophilidae
Exons: 2
Source: RefSeq, a predicted model, not a curated record